CGGGUCCGAACCUAGUUUUUAUCUAUUAUUUUAAAAAACAUAUAGGUUACAAAAAAAAACAUUCAAACGUAAGUUGUCUCACCCCACCUGCAAUUUUAUCUCUUUUUGUUUUCUUUUUUUUUUGUCUAUUACCAUAAAAAAUUAAUGUCUGCAAUAUUUUAAUCUUCCAGAUCAGUUUUUUCGUUUAUGAUUCUCUAUUUUUACAGAAUAAGAAAGUCAGAUGAAAGAAAUUAACGAUAUCGGUUUGUUUUAUGUUGAUGGUGAUGAAGUGAACGAAGUAUCGUUUACAUUUCCGAAAUUGAUUCAAUGGAGCAUGUAAGGUACUUUUAGAUCUUAUUUUAGAUCUUUUAGAAUUUAUUUUGCUGCUUUUUUUUACUGUUGCAUGAAUCUUGGAACCCUGCGAAUAGUGAGCAAAAGUUAGUUCGUGACACAAUAGUCAUGAAAAUACAAAAGUAAAUGCAGCAUAUAUAUAUAACCUACAGAUGAAUCAACUAAAAUCAUGUCAAUAAUCAUGUGUCAAUGGUUUCUACGGCGUAAACUUUGUAUUGCCUCCAAGAA
This 558-nucleotide long non-coding RNA is filed under the name Capsella rubella. Its description in RNAcentral is "long non-coding RNA (CRUB_LNC005165)". The record is from RNAcentral. Lineage: Eukaryota; Viridiplantae; Streptophyta; Magnoliopsida; Brassicales; Brassicaceae.